This is a non-coding RNA of Phoenix dactylifera (date palm), 1765 nucleotides long. The record is from RefSeq and is a predicted model, not a curated record. NCBI's taxonomy places the organism in Eukaryota, Viridiplantae, Streptophyta, Magnoliopsida, Arecales, Arecaceae.
CAAGUCUAUGCUCUCCCAUCAUGGUAUCAUGUGUCAGCAUUUGGUAGUGCUUCUGUAGCAUGGAAAGGUUCCCCACCCACUGCUUUCCAUGCGGGUCGGCGGAAGCCUAAAGGCCAGGAUAUAAAGGUGGCGACUUUUUCACUCAAAAAAAAAAGAAAGAGAGAAAAAAAAGGUGGUGACUUUUGUCCACAUUCUUUAAUUAGUGUGCGUAGCUAAUGAUAUAUGCUAAUGACUUUUCUUUGCCACCGUAUCUUUUGAAAUGAUAAGAAUUUGAUCUUCAUGUUCGGUUUCACGCUCACAGCUUCAUCUUCUACAGGGUUAUUGCUGUCCUGGCUCAUUCUUCCUGAUGAUCGAAUGAAUUGGUGCAAGAUCCAUGAGAGCAUCAAGUGGCUUCCUUCGAAGGGAGCCAAAUGGCCAUUUUGAUUGGCUUCGGCAAGAUUCUUCAUCAACUUGUGAUUUGUCUUGUACGAGGAGUUUCUCAGCUCCUCUAUAUUCCAUCAAAAAAACAAAAAAAAAAAUUACAUUCUCUUAAAGGUAGAACUCUUUCUGGCUAGACGCCAUCACCUAGAACUCUUAAGUCCUCCUUCCCUCAUAUAAUUUGGAUUCGAGCUCAGGUGUCUAUUAAUUGGUGGUGCAACUACUGUGAGACUUUUACCAGCUAGCAAGCUGGCCGGUACAAAUAAUGGCACAACUAGUAAAAGGAUAACAACUAAAAACAGUGGGGAAACAAUACUAGGGUCCUAAGAUACUUCCAUGCUUUUCCACACACCAUAUUGCUUAAGAUUCCAGCCAGAUGAUAUGCUUACUAAUCCACGUCAGUGCUGCAUCAUUUAUCAUGCAUGGGGCGAGCACAUUGGUACAAAAUGGAAACCUUCAAAGCCCACAAGCAUACGCACCAAGCCAUUUGAGUAAAUGAUCGAAAUGCAAUGAAUGACCUUAUCCUUGGAUGAAGAUAUUCCCCCUCCCAAGGUAAGAGCUAGGGGGGAUGGAUGUGAGAGACGUGACUCGGAGAGAGCGAUGGUGUGUAUAUAUAUUGGGGGACCAGUCCCACUCGCAAAAGGGUUUUGUUGCUCUUGUGGCUGAUGGCAUUCCCACCACCACACAAGGAGCAAGAGAGAGAGAGAGAGAGAGAGAGAUUCAGGUUUGAGUGGCUCUGGGAGCAUUCAGCGUUGUUCCACUAUGCUGGACACAUGCAUGAAAGAGGUCUCAGAACCUUUUCUUUGUAAAGGUGGAGGACCCUUGUUUGCUAUCUGCCAAACUUUCUUCUCAAGCCUUUCUCCUGGGGUAUUUUUUGCCGUGGGAGCCCUUUCCUACAUGCAGGGGCUGCCCUAUUCUGUCGCUCGUGGGGUUUGGUCGAGUUCAUUAGACCUGCAUCAAGGCAAGCAAACACCAGGAAGCCCGUAGAAGUAAAUUUCUUUAAAAGCUUUUGGGAUUUUAGAGGGUGUUUAAGAAGUUAUAGCUAGGGAAAGUGAUUGCAUCAUUGAUGUACCUGGCCAGUUGCAAGCUGCCUUCUUUCUGUGGAUGUUGGGGUGGGGAGAGAUUACCUCCACUACAUGGCAGACAGCUUCCAUGACUUUUGCGAUGUUGGAAGACAGCUCCCAUUCACCACCAAUAUCAGAGGGGGACAAUCUAUUGGACGAGAGGACGCUGAGCGGAGUCCUGCGCAUUCCGGUUCAUAGAUCGCCGUGAGGACGGUGAUUAGUUUGUCUGAGUUUUCAACAAAGUAGUUGCAGGAUGCUUAGAUUUGGAUGGGAUGGGCGCAGAG